GGUCGGUUAGCUCAGUUGGUUAGAGCGUCGUACUAAUACAAUGCAAGUUGUAUCAAGUAAUGCGAAGGUCAUGAGUUCAACCCUCAUACUGACCA
Whalleya microplaca is the source of this 95-nucleotide non-coding RNA. Lineage: Eukaryota; Fungi; Ascomycota; Sordariomycetes; Xylariales; Xylariaceae. The record is from the annotation of a GenBank genome assembly.